CGGGGGGAGCAAGCGUUGUUCGGAUUUACUGGGCGUAAAGGGCGCGUAGGCGGCCACCGCAAGUCGACUGUGAAAUCUCCGGGCUUAACUCGGAAAGGUCAGCCGACACUGCGGGGCUAGAGUGCAGAAGGGGCAACUGGAAUUCUCGGUGUAGCGGUGAAAUGCGUAGAUAUCGAGAGGAACACCUGCGGCGAAGGCGGGUUGCUGGGCUGACACUGACGCUGAGGCGCGAAAGCUAGGGGAGCGAACGGGAUUAGAUACCCCGGUAGUCCUAGCCUUAAACGAUGAAUGCUUGGUGUCUGGGGUUUUAUAGUCCCCGGGUGCCGUCGCUAACGCUUUAAGCAUUCCGCCUGGGGAGUACGGUCGCAAGACUG
RNAcentral lists this ribosomal RNA (374 nucleotides) under uncultured organism. Its description in RNAcentral is "bacterial SSU rRNA". It matches the Rfam family "Bacterial small subunit ribosomal RNA", at positions 526 to 896 of the family's 1533-position model. The record is from RNAcentral.